CUUUGGCUCAGGUCCUGGUCUCUUGGAUGGUGGUUUUGAGCUCCAUGCAGGUUCUGUGCUAACAGGAGGUUUCACUCACAGUUGACAAAAUGUAUUACCUGGACAGUAUCUCUAAAGACGCUACAAUCUGCAGCCUUCUUAAAGAUCCAUCUGGACUUGCUGCUUAUUCCCUUCAAGACACUGGAGAAUUCCAAGACUCUGGCUUUCCCCUGACUGGAGAACCUGGCGGCCACCUCACGAGGCGCUGGCAGCCUGAAGAUGCCUCAUUUGACCCUGAGUCCAGAGAAUUAUUCUUUACAUGGCACUCUCCCUCAUUAUAGGAUGGCACUACUACAUUUUAAUUGCAGCUGCCAAAACAACCCAGAAGGUACUAACCCUCCUAGGAUAAAACUUACAUUUUCUUU
Long non-coding RNA from Suricata suricatta (meerkat), 404 nucleotides. RefSeq lists it as uncharacterized. The transcript has 3 exons. The record is from RefSeq and is a predicted model, not a curated record. Lineage: Eukaryota; Metazoa; Chordata; Mammalia; Carnivora; Herpestidae.